GAGAGGGAGAGAGGGAGGUGGGGGUGAGCCGGACUGCAGUGAUUAUUCCUACUGUAUGGCCAGCGCUCUCUCUCUCUCUCUCUCUCUCUUGCUUUUGCUCUCUCUUUUCUGCAGCAAUAACCCCUUUUCUCAAAGCACUGCGGGACAUAAGCAAAAGACCAGCAACGUGUGGCAUGUACCAGUCUUUAUUGCCGGGGCUCAAGGAUGACGCUAUGUCUCAGGUACACUUCGAAAGAAAAAGAGAACGAUGGACUCCCCAGAGCACGCUCAGUCUUCUCCCAGGACUAAUUCAAGAAGAUGCAGCUUUUGACAGUCAAAGCCUGGAUCAGCCUGGAUCUCAAGGAGAACUUUCUCUCCUAUAAUCUCCCGGGGCUUUUAGGAUCUACAAGUGAGACCCUAAUCAAAGUUCCUUCCUUUAGCAAGGGCGGCCAUAUUGCUUCGUUUACAACCACUGCACCUCCCAUCACUUCCAGCCGAAAUCGUGUCACUUUUUAUAAGACCGUCUUUCGCCAUAUGAACCUCCCUGGACUCUGAGAUCAACCUCUGAGGCCCUUCUUCCUGUGCCUCCUCCAUGAGAGGUCCAGAAGGUGGCAACACAAGAACGGGGCCUUCUCUGCAGUGGCUCCCCAUUUGAGAAUGCUCUCGCCAGGGAGGCUCACCUGGCCUCUUCAUUGUACACCUUUAGGUGCCAGGCAAAAACCAGGCUUUGGGUUGAUUGACAUCUGAUGCCCUUUUCUAUGUGUUGUGGGAGGGCGAAUUAUUGUUUUGUUGUUGUUCGUAUUUUUAUAUUGUAAUUUUAUUUUGCGGACCACCCUGAGGUCUACAGAGGAGGUGUGCAAAUAUUAGUAUUAUACCAUAAAGUAGGGUUACCAAAUCUGGGUUUUCCCAGGGAAUUGUUCAGCAAAAUGGCAUCGGGGCAGAUUUUUGCUGAAUCCACAAAAUGUCUGGGGAAAUCUGGACGUAUGGCAAGGUGGGCUCAACCACUUUGUCCAGAUUUUCACUUUGGGGGAUAUGGCAACCCUGCCACAAAUGCUCCAGUUUAUUUCUUAGUCACACUUUUGAUGUGCUAAAGUGCAAGAGUGCCUCUCCAGACAGCAAUAAUGCAGUAACAUUGGGGAAGGAUGGCAAAAGAAGUAAUAAGGCAGAAUGAUAUGGUGAUGGUCCAGUAUAAGUACAGCACGGAUGCACCAUUAUUGUGUCAAAGAAAUACUGCAGAAUUUACCAGCCUGGAGGGGUGCUUUAAAUAUAUGGCAUCUUACUUCUCAUGAAAGGUCCCUUACCUUUCCCGCCCCGACCUGGCCACAGUGAUCCAUGCGACGGUCACCUCCAGGCUUGACUACUGUAAUUCGCUCUACGCGGGGCUGCCCUUGAAGCUGUCCCAGAAACUCCAGCGGGUGCAGAAUGCUGCAGCGAGGCUCCUCACGGGGUCUCUGCCAUGGGAGCAUAUUCACCCAGUGCUUUUUCAGCUGCACUGGCU
Molecule: long non-coding RNA, 1477 nt
Organism: Podarcis raffonei (Aeolian wall lizard)
Lineage: Eukaryota; Metazoa; Chordata; Lepidosauria; Squamata; Lacertidae
Exons: 3
Source: RefSeq, a predicted model, not a curated record